Molecule: ribosomal RNA, 689 nt
Filed under: uncultured archaeon
Lineage: Archaea
Description: bacterial SSU rRNA
Rfam family: Archaeal small subunit ribosomal RNA
Source: RNAcentral
CUCAGUAACACGUGGACAACCUACCCUGAGGUGGGGGAUAACCCCGGGAAACUGGGGAUAAUACCCCAUAGAUUACCGAAGCUGGAAUGCUCGGUAGUUGAAAGGUGAGCCGCCUCAGGAUGGGUCUGCGGCCGAUUAGGUUGUUGUUGGGGUAACGGCCCAACAAGCCUGUAAUCGGUACGGGUUGUGGGAGCAAGAACCCGGAGAUGGAUUCUGAGACACGAAUCCAGGCCCUACGGGGCGCAGCAGGCGCGAAAACUUUACAAUGCGGGAAACCGUGAUAAGGGAACCCCGAGUGCCCGUUAAAUCGGGCUGUCCAUCUGUGUAAAAAACAGGUGAAGAAAGGGCCGGGCAAGACCGGUGCCAGCCGCCGCGGUAAUACCGGCGGCUCGAGUGGUGGCCACUAUUACUGGGCUUAAAGCGUCCGUAGCUGGAUUGUUAAGUCUCCUGGGAAAUCUACCGGCUUAACCGAUAGGCGUUCAGGAGAUACUGGCAAUCUAGGGACCGGGAGAGGUGAGAGGUACUCCAGGGGUAGGAGUGAAAUCCUGUAAUCCUUGGGGGACCACCUGUGGCGAAGGCGUCUCACCAGAACGGCUCCGACAGUGAGGGACGAAAGCUGGGGGAGCAAACCGGAUUAGAUACCCGGGUAGUCCCAGCUGUAAACGAUGCGCGUUAGGUGUAUCGGUGAC